Molecule: long non-coding RNA, 4174 nt
Organism: Sapajus apella (tufted capuchin)
Lineage: Eukaryota; Metazoa; Chordata; Mammalia; Primates; Cebidae
Exons: 4
Source: RefSeq, a predicted model, not a curated record
UCUUAAUGGCGCGAUCUCGGCUCACGGCAGUCAUUUGGUUUUAAGAAUAAUAAAUUGUCAUUUAUUAACCAUGUCAGAGUUUAUCUGCUGAACUCUGGGGUAAAUGGAGGGAGGGAACAGAUUUGGGAGCACCAGCACCCCUAGACCUCCCCUGGCCACCCCAAGGAGCAGGUGAUUAAUAUCUCAGCACACCUCUACUUAUUAGUGGCACAUCAGUGUGUCUUAGACCUUAGUGAGCUGUGAGGUGCAUGACUUUGGGUAAGUUACUUCUCUGUUUCAGUUUCCUUAUCUGCAAAAUGGAGACCUUAGGGAGUUAAUGUGUGUGUGUCAACUGUACAUAAAACAUAAUGCACAAGGUGAGGCAUGUAGUGUAUGCUAAUAAAUGGUAAGUUGCUGCUGUUAUGGUUGUUAACAAUAAUUAUAAAAAGCAAAUGGAAAGGGCUUGAAUUGAGAAAAAUUUUAGACACAUAGUUUUUUGCGUUAUUAGCUCGCAUUGUAGUUUUCAUUUUUUUUUCUUUAAUGCUUCUUUCCAGGACAAAAAAUAUCCAAAGAUAUUUUGGCACUAACAGUGCGAUCUGUAGCAAGAAAAUUGGGCAGUCUAUUUGAACUGUUCAUUCUUCCGAGGAGACCUCAGAGAGCCAAGACAGUAUAAAGGAAAAUUUGAAAAAAAGACUUAUUAGACAUUAUUAAGGGCACAAAAGUUGAAUUAAGCACAGUUAAUGUACAAACAACAAAGCCACCCAACAGCAGACCACUUAAAAACUACAACUGGUAGCCUUCAAAGAGCUACAGAACAUGCUCCAAAGAAGAGAGAAAUUUAAUUGUAAUUUGAAUGUUGUUUGAAACUAAUUUUUGAAACUCCAGUAAGUUUUUUCUUUUGGCAAAAACUAUUUUUAAAUGUGAGUACUUGGGAGAUGUUGAAUUAAUGAAGUCCAAGUUGAAUUAGUGAAGAAUAAAUAUCAGCUUGUAAACACAGGGACCCUAAUUACUUGCUGUAAUGUAUUUUAGAAAACAAACAAAAAAAAAUCUCUUAUAUCAGGGGCAUUUUAAUAUAGAAGUGUGAAAAAUGGAAAGUCCGUCUAAAAGGGGAAGCCUUGAAUGUAGUGUAAUGAAAUGCUGUUAUUGUAUUAUAUUUAAAUAACAAGACGAUAUUUGUAUACAAUCCAGUGAAAGGAAAAGAGAAGUGAUGUCAUCAAGAAUUCCACACUCUUACCUAUUUAUUAGUGUUAUUAACUGCCACUUACUUAAUUGCCUCUUUAAGCUGUUAAUUAACAAUACCAUUUACAUCCUGAUUUGAAGGUAGCUUCAUGUCUGUAAAGGACUCGCUUAUUUGAAAUUUUCCAUUUUAAAGAUUUUUUUUGAAAUAAAGUUUUAGCAUGUUGAUUACAACUGCUUUAUAGGACUUCCUUUGACCAAUAACUGUCAGUGCUUUCAGCUUUCUUGGUUACCUCAGAGCAUUAUCGUUACUUGUGCUUGUCAAAAGAGUAUUAUAUUUAAUUCUAAGGGCAACCAGCAAUAUCUUGGCAUUGUAUUGUAGGUUAAAUCGCAGUAUUUUUUUUAGUGAUACAUAAUGAUGUAUUUUAUAAUGUCAUUAAUUCAAGUAGUAAGAAGCAAGCCCCUGAGUCCCGAGUUGGUGGCAGCUGCGUCUGCUGCUCCCUUUUGGCAAGCAAACAAGCCAGAGCUACUCAGGCAGCUCAGUAGCAUGAGGAAGAGUGAGGGGCACAGAGAGAUGGAUGGAGACCUAAAAUUAGUAACAUAGUAUCAGAUAUGAAAGUUGCCAGACGUGCUACACCUAGAGUUAGUAUAAGAACAGAGCAUCAGAUUCAGUUUGACCAAGGCUAUGACAAUUAUCCUGGCCAGCAGAAGACUGCUUAUCUUAGAAAAAGACGUGACCUUCUCUUUGGGAUGUGGAAUUUGCCAAGCAGUUAGCCACAGAAAAUGAACAACUCCUUCAGAACGGGUUUGAAGAGCUGAUCCAGUGGACAAAAGAAGGGAAACUGGGAGUUCCCAAUUAACAAUGAAGCAGGUAAGUGGUAAUUUCAAGGGUUUAUAAAAUACAUUGAUUGAGAUUUUUUCUGCCAGAUAUUCACUUUUAGAGUGCAGAUACUUACCUGAAUUUCAAAACACUGUACAGAUAUCUUCAUAGUGUCCUAAAGAAAGUAAGUUGCAGCAGAAUGCAUGCAAUUUAAUAGUAUUUUAUAAAAUUCAAAAACCAAAUUUUGAAUAUACUUUCUUAGCUAUAAAGAUGAUAAAACUAUAAAACAAAAUCAACAUAAUACAGUAUUUCAGGAAGGCAGGGUAAUUGAGAAAAGACACCCGGGGCUUCAACAGUACUAUCAUUCUCUUCCUCAAGUUGGACAGCAGGUUCACAGGUGGUCAUUUCAUCAUGCUUUUAUGUCAUUAUAUGUUGUUAUACUAUAUGUUAUACAUAUUAUAAUUAUACAUUAUACUAUACAUAUCCUUUUGUUUGUAACAGUGUUUCAUAAUAUUUUAAGGAAUGAAUGGAAAUGGGCAUAUAACGAAGAUAUGCAGUGCCUAGCCAUCAGUGAAGUCCCAGAAUUAUCAGAUUCCAAGAUAAUUCCUUUACAAAAAUAAGCAAACAAGGGCAUGUUAUCUAGAAUGGAAAGACCAUCCAUAUUCUACUAACUGAGACAAUUAAAUAGGGAAUCCCUCUUUCAGGUUGGCAUUUGUUGUAUGCUUGGAAGUGUUUUGAAGCAGAAAUUGGUUGUAAAUAAAUCUACUUCUCCUUAAUACUAGGAAAGUAUAAGCUUGCUUUUAAUGUCACUAUUAUCCCUGCCAAGAAAUUAAAAGUCCUGGAGGUAGUUUUGCUUAUGAACUCAAUUCCUUGCUUAUUAAUGAACCUAAAUUUAAUCCUUGAUUAUAUCUUUCUGUAGAGUUGUUUUUGCUUUGUUUUUAAAAAAGACAGGUGCAUUGACCUUCUUCGGGGAUGACCAUGGGUAUUUUAAAAGAUAAGAAAUUUGCUGAGAAUUCCUUAAAUUUUUCUACUUUUCACUAGCCAGUGAGGACAUUGUCCAUUUUUUGCAGGUAGCUUUGAAAGAUGAUGAUACCGCCACAGUUGAGACCAUGUUAUUAAAACAUCCUUCAUCUAACCAUUUACACAUUUGGUUCUAAAGAAUGUAUUAUCCUUAGAUUCUUGUUUCUAAAUAAUGUAUUAUCUUAAGAUUCUUGUCUUGCUACUAUUCUUAAAAUUGCUCUAAAACUUGCUGAAGUAAUCAGCUUUAAAUUCUGUAAAUACAGAUAAAAUCCUCUUAAUCCUAAAGGUGCUUUUAAAAUUCAUGCAUUUUUACAUGUAUGCAAAUUGGCUAUUAAAUUGGGAAGAUUUUAUUCUAAGUAACCAAAUCUUAAGGAGCCAAAGCAAACCUGCUUUAUAAAAUAUAUUAAUUCAAAGACGAGGGAAUUUCUGAAAACACCAAUUUACUGCGCUUCUGAAUAUUUCCUCAAACUAGAAUGCAAGCGAUGUUGGCAGAGGGAGGAAGUAACUCAUACUAGGAAGAACAAACAGCUGCUGAAAUAUGCUUGUGGUUUAGCAGUUCUUUUAAAAAUCCUGUCAGCUGCAAAAGAAAGGAAGGACUAAUACUUUCCACGAUUUCAGGAACAUCUUUAUUAACAGGCUCCUUUUGAAUGUGGUAUAUAAAGUUAGAAAACACUUAGGCAUGGUAUCUGGCAUAGGGCUCCUAGGGAGCAUUUCAUAAACAGACGGUCUGGGGCGUAUGAUGGUUUGACUGGAAGUUUUUGACUUUAUGAUGCACAUAAAGGCAAUGCACAUUCAGUAGAAACCAUACUUUGAGUCCCCAUACAACUAUCCUGUUUUCAUGUUCAGGACAUUGUUCCCAUAAAUUACAUGAGCUAUUGAACCCUUUAUAAUAAAACAGGAUUUGUAUUAAUUUUGCCUCUGUAGGUUAAUGUAAGUGUUCUGAGUAUGUUUAAGGUAGGCUAGUGUAAGCUCUGAAGCCCAGUAGGUUAGAUAUAUUAAAGGCAUUUUGACUUAGGAUAUUUUCCCCUCCCCCAGUAAACCCAUUGUAAGUCAAGACACACCUGUAUCUGAUAGAGGUCUACCUUUAUCAAUUUAAACUGUGACAAAUGUAAUGUUCCUGUUUUGCUUUUAAAUUGGAGAGCAACAGCAGGUCUGAAAUAAAUACUGCAGUUACCUUUG